UGGGGAAUUUUGGACAAUGGGCGCAAGCCUGAUCCAGCAAUGCCGCGUGCAGGAUGAAGGCCUACGGGUUGUAAACUGCUUUUGCACGGAACGAAAAAGCUAUCUCUAAUACAGGGGGUGAAUGACGGUACCGUAAGAAUAAGCACCGGCUAACUACGAGCCAGCAGCCGCGGUAAUACGUAGGGUGCAAGCGUUAAUCGGAAUUACUGGGCGUAAAGCGUGCGCAGGCGGUUUUGUAAGACAAAGGUGAAAUCCCAGGGCUCAACCUGGGAACUGCCUUUGUGACUGCAAAGCUGGAGUGCGGCAGAGGGGGAUGGAAUUCCGCGUGUAGCAGUGAAAUGCGUAGAUAUGCGGAGGAACACCGAUGGCGAAGGCAAUCCCCUGGGCCUGCACUGACGCUCAUGCACGAAAGCGUGGGGAGCAAACA
Molecule: ribosomal RNA, 427 nt
Filed under: uncultured bacterium
Lineage: Bacteria
Description: bacterial SSU rRNA
Rfam family: Bacterial small subunit ribosomal RNA
Source: RNAcentral